GGCCAGUUAGCUCAGCGGGUUGAGCACAGUGCUGAUAACACCGAGAUUGCGGGUUUGAUUCCCGUUCGGUCCC
This 73-nucleotide transfer RNA is filed under the name Apaloderma vittatum (bar-tailed trogon). It matches the Rfam family "tRNA". From Rfam's summary of the family: Transfer RNA (tRNA) molecules are approximately 80 nucleotides in length. Their secondary structure includes four short double-helical elements and three loops (D, anti-codon, and T loops). Further hydrogen bonds mediate the characteristic L-shaped molecular structure. tRNAs have two regions of fundamental functional importance: the anti-codon, which is responsible for specific mRNA codon recognition, and the 3' end, to which the tRNAs corresponding amino acid is attached (by aminoacyl-tRNA synthetases). tRNAs cope with the degeneracy of the genetic code in two manners: having more than one tRNA (with a specific anti-codon) for a particular amino acid; and 'wobble' base-pairing, i.e. permitting non-standard base-pairing at the 3rd anti-codon position. The record is from Rfam by way of RNAcentral. Lineage: Eukaryota; Metazoa; Chordata; Aves; Trogoniformes; Trogonidae.